GCUGAAAUUCGCCUACAUGAAGCCGGAAUUGCUAGUAAUGGCAGGUCAGCAUACUGCCGUGAAUACGUUCCCGGGCCUUGUACACACCGCCCGUCACACCAUGAGAGUUGGGGAUACCCGAAGCCUGUGAGCCAACUAUAUAGAGGCAGCAGUCGAAGGUAGAAUCAAUGAUUGGGGUGAAGUCGUAACAAGGUAAC
Molecule: ribosomal RNA, 197 nt
Filed under: uncultured bacterium
Lineage: Bacteria
Description: partial 16S ribosomal RNA
Rfam family: Bacterial small subunit ribosomal RNA
Source: RNAcentral